GAGUUUGAUCCUGGCUCAGGAUGAACGCUGGCGGCGUGCCUAAUACAUGCAAGUCGAGCGAACGGACGAGAAGCUUGCUUCUCUGAUGUUAGCGGCGGACGGGUGAGUAACACGUGGAUAACCUACCUAUAAGACUGGGAUAACUUCGGGAAACCGGAGCUAAUACCGGAUAAUAUUUUGAACCGCAUGGUUCAAAAGUGAAAGACGGUCUUGCUGUCACUUAUAGAUGGAUCCGCGCUGCAUUAGCUAGUUGGUAAGGUAACGGCUUACCAAGGCAACGAUGCAUAGCCGACCUGAGAGGGUGAUCGGCCACACUGGAACUGAGACACGGUCCAGACUCCUACGGGAGGCAGCAGUAGGGAAUCUUCCGCAAUGGGCGAAAGCCUGACGGAGCAACGCCGCGUGAGUGAUGAAGGUCUUCGGAUCGUAAAACUCUGUUAUUAGGGAAGAACAUAUGUGUAAGUAACUGUGCACAUCUUGACGGUACCUAAUCAGAAAGCCACGGCUAACUACGUGCCAGCAGCCGCGGUAAUACGUAGGUGGCAAGCGUUAUCCGGAAUUAUUGGGCGUAAAGCGCGCGUAGGCGGUUUUUUAAGUCUGAUGUGAAAGCCCACGGCUCAACCGUGGAGGGUCAUUGGAAACUGGAAAACUUGAGUGCAGAAGAGGAAAGUGGAAUUCCAUGUGUAGCGGUGAAAUGCGCAGAGAUAUGGAGGAACACCAGUGGCGAAGGCGACUUUCUGGUCUGUAACUGACGCUGAUGUGCGAAAGCGUGGGGAUCAAACAGGAUUAGAUACCCUGGUAGUCCACGCCGUAAACGAUGAGUGCUAAGUGUUAGGGGGUUUCCGCCCCUUAGUGCUGCAGCUAACGCAUUAAGCACUCCGCCUGGGGAGUACGACCGCAAGGUUGAAACUCAAAGGAAUUGACGGGGACCCGCACAAGCGGUGGAGCAUGUGGUUUAAUUCGAAGCAACGCGAAGAACCUUACCAAAUCUUGACAUCCUUUGACAACUCUAGAGAUAGAGCCUUCCUCUUCGGGGGACAAAGUGACAGGUGGUGCAUGGUUGUCGUCAGCUCGUGUCGUGAGAUGUUGGGUUAAGUCCCGCAACGAGCGCAACCCUUAAGCUUAGUUGCCAUCAUUAAGUUGGGCACUCUAAGUUGACUGCCGGUGACAAACCGGAGGAAGGUGGGGAUGACGUCAAAUCAUCAUGCCCCUUAUGAUUUGGGCUACACACGUGCUACAAUGGACAAUACAAAGGGCAGCGAAACCGCGAGGUCAAGCAAAUCCCAUAAAGUUGUUCUCAGUUCGGAUUGUAGUCUGCAACUCGACUACAUGAAGCUGGAAUCGCUAGUAAUCGUAGAUCAGCAUGCUACGGUGAAUACGUUCCCGGGUCUUGUACACACCGCCCGUCACACCACGAGAGUUUGUAACACCCGAAGCCGGUGGAGUAACCUUUUAGGAGCUAGCCGUCGAAGGUGGGACAAAUGAUUGGGGUGAAGUCGUAACAAGGUAGCCGUAUCGGAAGGUGCGGCUGGAUCACC
RNAcentral lists this ribosomal RNA (1538 nucleotides) under Staphylococcus aureus. RNAcentral's name for it is "16S ribosomal RNA". It matches the Rfam family "Bacterial small subunit ribosomal RNA". Lineage: Bacteria; Bacillati; Bacillota; Bacilli; Caryophanales; Staphylococcaceae. The record is from RNAcentral.